AAAUUGAAGAGUUUGAUCAUGGCUCAGAUUGAACGCUGGCGGCAGGCCUAACACAUGCAAGUCGAACGGUAACAGAAAGAAGCUUGCUUCUUUGCUGACGAGUGGCGGACGGGUGAGUAAUGUCUGGGAAACUGCCUGAUGGAGGGGGAUAACUACUGGAAACGGUAGCUAAUACCGCAUAACGUCGC
RNAcentral lists this ribosomal RNA (188 nucleotides) under Escherichia coli. RNAcentral describes it as "partial 16S ribosomal RNA". It matches the Rfam family "Bacterial small subunit ribosomal RNA", at positions 1 to 182 of the family's 1533-position model. The record is from RNAcentral. Lineage: Bacteria; Pseudomonadati; Pseudomonadota; Gammaproteobacteria; Enterobacterales; Enterobacteriaceae.